GACGAACGCUUUCUUCUUUCCUAAUACAUGCAAGUAGAACGCACAGUUUAUACCGUAGCUUGCUACACCAUAGACUGUGAGUUGCGAACGGGUGAGUAACGCGUAGGUAACCUGCCUGGUAGCGGGGGAUAACUAUUGGAAACGAUAGCUAAUACCGCAUAAUAUUAAUUAUUGCAUGAUAAUUAAUUGAAAGGUGCAAUUGCACCACUACCAGAUGGACCUGCGUUGUAUUAGCUAGUAGGUGAGGUAACGGCUCACCUAGGCGACGAUACAUAGCCGACCUGGGAGGGUGAUCGGCCACACUGGGACUGAGACACGGCCCAGAAUACUACGGGAGGCAGCAGAAGGGAAUCUUAGGCAAUGGAAGCAAGUAUGACAGAGCAACGGCGCGUGAGUGAAGAAGGGUUUCGGAUCGUAAAGCUCUGUUGUACGAGAAGAACGGGUGUGAGAGUGGAAAGUUCACACUGUGACGGUAUCUUACCAGAAAGGGACGGCUAACUACGUG
This 505-nucleotide ribosomal RNA is filed under the name uncultured bacterium. Its description in RNAcentral is "partial 16S ribosomal RNA". It matches the Rfam family "Bacterial small subunit ribosomal RNA", at positions 28 to 507 of the family's 1533-position model. The record is from RNAcentral.